Molecule: ribosomal RNA, 429 nt
Filed under: Chloroflexota bacterium
Lineage: Bacteria; Bacillati; Chloroflexota
Description: Chloroflexi bacterium partial 16S ribosomal RNA
Rfam family: Bacterial small subunit ribosomal RNA
Source: RNAcentral
UGGGGAAUAUUGCACAAUGGGCGCAAGCCUGAUGCAGCCAUGCCGCGUGUAUGAAGAAGGCCUUCGGGUUGUAAAGUACUUUCAGUCGGGAGGAAGGUGUCAAGGUUAAUAACCUUGGCAAUUGACGUUACCGACAGAAGAAGCACCGGCUAACUCCGUGCCAGCAGCCGCGGUAAUACGGAGGGUGCAAGCGUUAAUCGGAAUUACUGGGCGUAAAGCGCACGCAGGCGGCUGAUUGAGUCAGAUGUGAAAUCCCCGGGCUUAACCCGGGAAUUGCAUCUGAUACUGGUCAGCUAGAGUCUUGUAGAGGGGGGUAGAAUUCCAUGUGUAGCGGUGAAAUGCGUAGAGAUGUGGAGGAAUACCGGUGGCGAAGGCGGCCCCCUGGACAAAGACUGACGCUCAGGUGCGAAAGCGUGGGGAGCAAACAGG